Molecule: non-coding RNA, 73 nt
Organism: Pangasianodon gigas (Mekong giant catfish)
Lineage: Eukaryota; Metazoa; Chordata; Actinopteri; Siluriformes; Pangasiidae
Source: the annotation of a GenBank genome assembly
UCCCUGGUGGUCUAACGGCUAAGGAUCCUGUGCGCUCACCGCCAAGGCCUGGGUUCGAUUCCUGGCCAGGGAC